Molecule: ribosomal RNA, 380 nt
Filed under: uncultured eukaryote
Lineage: Eukaryota
Description: partial 18S ribosomal RNA
Rfam family: Eukaryotic small subunit ribosomal RNA
Source: RNAcentral
CAAUAGCGUAUAUUAAAGUUGUUGCAGUUCAAAAGCUCGUAGUUGGAUUUGUGGCGUACGGUGUGUUCCGGGCACUUGUUGUCUGAGUAACCUGCUGUUGCCAUCCUUGGGUGGAACCUGUGUGGCAUUAGGUUGUCGUGCAGGGGAUGCCCAUCAUUUACUGUGAAAAAAUUAGAGUGUUCAAAGCAGGCUUAUGCCGUUGAAUAUAUUAGCAUGGAAUAAUGAGAUAGGACUUUUUUGCUAUUUUGUUGGUUUGCGCAAGAAGGUAAUGAUUAAUAGGGACAGUUGGGGGUAUUCGUAUUCCAUUGUCAGAGGUGAAAUUCUUGGAUUUUUGGAAGACGAACUACUGCGAAAGCAUUUACCAAGGAUGUUUUCAUUAA